This 3602-nucleotide long non-coding RNA is filed under the name Sus scrofa (pig). RNAcentral's name for it is "lncRNA (ENSSSCG00030043080.1)". Lineage: Eukaryota; Metazoa; Chordata; Mammalia; Artiodactyla; Suidae. The record is from RNAcentral.
UUUUUCUUUUUUUUUUUUUCCUUUUUUAGGACUGCACCCACAACAUAUGGAGGUUCCCAGCCUAGGGGUCAAAUCGGAGCUGUAGCUGCUGGCCUACGCCAGAGCCACAGCAACGCCAGAUCCGACCUUCAUCUAUGACCUACACCACAGCUUAUGGCAAUGCCGGAUCCUUAACCCACUGAGCGAGGCCAGGGAACAAACCUGCAUUCUCCAUGUAUGCUAGUCAGAUUCAUUUCUGCUGAGCCAUGAUGGGAACUCCAUUAAUGGUAGUGUUUGCCUCUAAAAUUAUUGAUAUAUUUUUUUCUGAUUUGGGUAAUAUUUAUGUAAAAUACAUUAUGGUGCUACAUUUGAUUUCCCUGUAGAGAUGGUAAAUAUCUUUACAUUUUAAAUGCUUUAAGGGAGUUUCCAUUGUAGGCCAGUGGGUUAGGAGCCCGACUAGUAUCCAUAAAGAUGCAGGUUUGAUCCCUGGCCUUGCUCAGUGGGUUAAAAGAUCUGGCACUGCUGUGAACUGCAGUGUAGUUUGCAGAUGCAGCUCAGAUCCUGUGUUGCUGUGGCUGUGAUGUAGACUGGCAGCUGCAGCUCCUAUCGGACCCCUCUCCUGGGAACUUCCAUAUGCCACAGGUGCGGCCCUAAAUUAAAACAAACAAACAAACAAAUGCUUUAAUAUAUACUACAAGUAUCACAUUGUAUUUCAAGUCACAAAAUUAUUUACUGCAAAUUUAAAAGAAGGAAUCCUAAUUUCUCCUUUUUAAAAUACAACUUAAAAUAUCUAGUUGCAUUCUUUCUUGUUUAAAAUCCUUUUUUGGAGGGUUUCAUAAUUUCAUUAUGUUUUUCAUUUUUGAGGAAUUAUUCUUUUUGUUCUAAGAAAAUGUAAUAUGUGGACACAGGAAUUGUCUUGGUAAUUUUCAAAAUUGUGUUGAUUUAAUCAAUCCAAUGUAUGCUGUAGUUAGGAGCUAUCUUCAUAAGAAGGCUUCAAAGUUGGGUUUUACUUUCAAUUAGCUUUUCAAUUAACUCGGAAGUGCUUCAUGGCUAAAAAUGUGUCCAAAUAAGAGCUUAAAAUAAAGGGGUCAUUUUGUGAGAAUACUGGCCAAGCACUUUUAAAGGAUUAUGUUCAUAAUAAAGAAAGGGUAAAUAUUAAAGAGGGAGUUCCUGUUGUAGUUCAGUGGACACGAACCCAACUAGUAUCCGUGAAGAGGAGGGUUCCCUGGCCUCGUUCAGUGGGUUAAGGAUCCUGCGUUGCUGUGAGCUGUGGUGUAGAUUGCACACUUGGCUCAGAUCCAGAGUUGCUCUGGCUGUGGUGCAGGCCAACAGCUGUAGCUCCGAUUUGACCCUUAGCCUGAGAACUUUCAUAUGCUGCAGGUACAGCCCUAAAAAGCAGUAAAUAAAUAAAUAUUAAAGAGAUGAGCUGCCUAAGGAUUUUUACAGCCUAUCAGAACCUGCCAAGACAGUAAUGGCCAACUGAGAUAAUCACCACUAAUAUUAUGGUAAACCUUCUUGUGUGCGUAUUUUGUGAAUAAGUCUGACUAUCCCGUUAUACUUUUUAUAGUUCUGGUUUCUAUCAAUUUUUUUUUUUUUUAAGAGCCGCAUAUGGAAAUUCCUGGGCUAAGGGUCAAAUCGGAGCUGUAGCUGCCAGUCCACACUACAGCCACAGCAAUGCAAGAUCCAAGCCGCAUCUGCAGCCUACUCACAGCAAAGCUGGAUCCUUUACAGCUCACUGCGAAGUUGAAUCUUUAACCCACUGAGUGAGGCCAGGGAUAGAACCUGUGUCACAUGGUUACUAGUCAGAUUCACUUCUGCUGAGCCACAGUGGGAACGUUGCAGACACGACUCGAAUCCCCAGUUGCUGUGGCUCUGCCGUAGGCCAGUGGCUACAGCUCCAAUUAGACCCCUAGCCUAGGAACCUCCAUAUGCCGAGGGAGCAGCCCAACAAAUGGCAAAAAGACAGACAAGAAAAAAAAAAAAAACUUUUAUCCGUGUGAAGUCCUAGCCACAGCAAUCAAACAAAUAGAAGAAAUAAAAGAUAUCCAAAUUGGAAGAUAAGAGGUAAAAUUGUCAAUCUAUGUAGAUGACAUGAUACUGUAUAUAGAAAACCCUAAGGACACCACAUAAAAACUUCUUGAAUUGAUCAACAAAUACAGCAAAAUAUCAGGAUACAAGAUUAACAUUCAGAAAUUGGUUGCAUUUCUGUAUACUAACAAUGAAAUAUUAUAAAAUGAAUAUAAAAAUACAAUACCCUUUAAAACCACACCCCCAAAAAUUAAAUACCUAGGAAUAAACCUAACAAAGGAGGUGAAAGACUUACAUGCUGAGAACUAUAAAACACUAAUCAAGGAAAUUAAAGAGGAUUCAAAGAAAUGGAAAGAUAUUCCAUGCUCCUGGGUUGGAAAAAUUAAUAUUGUAAAAAUGGCCAUACUACCCAAAGCUAUUUACAGAUUCAAUGCAAUCCCUGUCAAAGUACCCAUGACAUUUUUCACAGAACUAGAGUAAACAAUCCAAAAAUUUAUAUGGAACUACAAAAGACCCAGAAUUGCCAAAGCAAUCCUGAGAAACAAAAACCAAGCAGGAGGCAUAACUCUCCCAGACUUCAGGCAAUAUUACAAAGCCACAGUCAUCAAGACAGUGUGGUACUGGUACUAAAACAGAUAUACAGACCAGAGAACAGAUAGAGAACCCAGAAAUAAACCCAGACACCUAUGGUCAAUUAAUUUUUGACAAAGGAGGCAAGAAUAUAAAAUGGGAAAAAGACAGUCUUUUCAGAAAGUGGUGCUGGGAAAACUGGGCAGUUCCAUGUAAAUCAAUGAACCUGGAACACACCCUCACACUAUGCACAAAAAUAAACUCAAAAUGGCUUAAAGACAUAAACAUGAGACAAGACACCAUCAAAUUCCCUGAAGAGAAACAUAGGCAAAACAUUCUCUGACAACUGUACAAAUAUUUUCCUACGUCAGACUCCCAAGGCAACAGAAAUAAAAGCAAAAAUAAACCAAUGGGACCUAAUCAAACUGAUGAGCUUUUGCACAGUAAAGAAAAAAACAAACAAACAAAAGACAGCCUAUGGAAUGGGAGAAAAUAAUUUAAAAUGAUGCACCUGACAAGGGCUUAAUCUCUAAAAUAUACAAACAACUAAUAAAACUCAACAACAAAAAAAAACCCAACAACCCAAUUGAAAACUGGGCAUUUCUCCAAAGAAUAUAUACAGAUGGCCAACAAACUCAUGAAGAAAUGCUCAACACCACUAAUUAUUAGGGAAAUGCAAAUCAAAAAUACUGUGAGGUACCACCUCAUACCAGUCAGAAUGGCCAUCAUUAACAAGUCAACAAAUAACAAAUGCUGGAGAGGGUAUGGAGAAAAGUGUGGACUCUCACACUGCUGGUGGGAAUGUAAAUUGUACAACCACUGUGGAAAACAGUAUGGAGAUACCUCAGAAAGCUAAAUUAGAACUACCAUCUGACCCAGCAAUCCUACUCUUGGGCAUAUAUCCAGACAAAACUUUACUUGAAAAAGAACAUACAUGCGCCUGUAUGUUCAUUGCAUCACUAUUCACAGCAGGCAAGACAUGGAAACAACUUAAUGUCCACCAACAGAUGAAUGGAUUCAGAAGA